AAAAUGCGAAAAUUAUUUUUCAAUAAAAUAUUUUUCAUGAAAUAAAUGGAGCUUAAAUCGCUAAAUCUUAAUUUUAUCUAACAGAGCUUAAUUGAACAAAAUUCAUUGGAUUAUUUUAUAUUAUUUUCUUAGGUUGAUUUCAAACGAUAUUAGAUCUUUUUUCUAUUGAAUUUGUUAGUUUUCCUGCCGUGUAUAAACCCUAGUGUAUAAAGGCUCUCUCUUCAGUUAAGGAAUCACAAGUUCCGGUUUUCAUUUCAUUUCUUAUUAUGGUCUCAGAGCAAUAACUGCUCAUUUGCAUUUGAGAUCUGAAUCUGUUUUUCAGUUUUUGUUCAAUUUUCCCUCAUUUUCUAUUUGUUUCUCAUCCGUUUCUUAAUCAAGAUUGUUAAUCAAAGUUCAUGGCAACUGAAUCUACUUCUCUAUCUGCAAAAUCAAGCUCCGGAUCAUUUGACAAAUUCAUCUAAUCCAUACUUUCUGCAUCCAAGUGAGAAACUAGCCUCGAUUCUCGUAUCUCCAGUUUUUACUGGCCCCCAUUGCCAUUCAUGUACAAGAGCUAUGACGAUGGCAUUGCAAUCCAAGGAUAAAUUGAAGUUCAUUGACAAAUCUCUGGAGAUGCCAACAAGCACUAAUCCUUUGUUUUCUUCUUGAGAAAGGUGCAAUACUAUGGUGUUAUCUUGGAUCACACAUUCUCUGUCGCAUUCAAUUGCACGAAGCAUCUUAUGGAUUAAUAUUGCAUUUGAUGUCUGGAACAACCUCUGAAACAGAUUUUCUCGGUGUUUCGUAUUUUAGGUAUUUUAGAUCUGCAAGAAGAGAUUUACAGUUUCAAACAAGGUGAUUUACUUGUCACUGAUUACUUCACUCCAGUGAAGAUCUUGUGAGAUGAAUUGGAUAAUUUUAGGCCAAUACUUCAGUGCUCAUGUCCUGUUCAAUGUAAAUGUGAUGCACUUAUAGUUUUUCUUCUCCAGGAGCAGAUAAGAAAAGAUAUGAUAGUCAGAAUAAUACCAAAGUCUGCACCUACUGUGGUAAGCCACAUCACACUGAAGAAAUUUGCUAUAAGAAACAUGGAUUUCCACCUAGUUUUAUGUUUAGAAAUUCUUCUGGUGUAACCAUCAGUAAUGUCUAUUUUGACUCCAUUAAAAAUUGUGACAAAUAUGCUAGUCCUGAUAGAUCAUAAGAAGAACAUGAGAACACAUGCUUUGUUUUAGCUCCAUAAUAGUGUCAACGUUUACUGGCCCUGAUCCGACCAUCUAAUUCUAAUCAAGGCUAU
Molecule: unclassified non-coding RNA, 1264 nt
Filed under: Hevea brasiliensis (rubber tree)
Lineage: Eukaryota; Viridiplantae; Streptophyta; Magnoliopsida; Malpighiales; Euphorbiaceae
Source: RNAcentral